GGGGGGAUUAGUGGCGAACGGGUGAGUAACACGUGAGUAACCUGCCCUUAACUCUGGGAUAAGCCUGGGAAACUGGGUCUAAUACCGGAUAUGACUCCUCAUCGCAUGGUGGGGGGUGGAAAGCUUUAUUGUGGUUUUGGAUGGACUCGCGGCCUAUCAGCUUGUUGGUGAGGUAAUGGCUCACCAAGGCGACGACGGGUAGCCGGCCUGAGAGGGUGACCGGCCACACUGGGACUGAGACACGGCCCAGACUCCUACGGGAGGCAGCAGUGGGGAAUAUUGCACAAUGGGCGCAAGCCUGAUGCAGCGACGCCGCGUGAGGGAUGACGGCCUUCGGGUUGUAAACCUCUUUCAGUAGGGAAGAAGCGAAAGUGACGGUACCUGCAGAAGAAGCGCCGGCUAACUACGUGCCAGCAGCCGCGGUAAUACGUAGGGCGCAAGCGUUAUCCGGAAUUAUUGGGCGUAAAGAGCUCGUAGGCGGUUUGUCGCGUCUGCCGUGAAAGUCCGGGGCUCAACUCCGGAUCUGCGGUGGGUACGGGCAGACUAGAGUGAUGUAGGGGAGACUGGAAUUCCUGGUGUAGCGGUGAAAUGCGCAGAUA
This 599-nucleotide ribosomal RNA is filed under the name Arthrobacter pascens. RNAcentral describes it as "bacterial SSU rRNA". It matches the Rfam family "Bacterial small subunit ribosomal RNA", at positions 85 to 696 of the family's 1533-position model. The record is from RNAcentral. Lineage: Bacteria; Bacillati; Actinomycetota; Actinomycetes; Micrococcales; Micrococcaceae.